GUGCUUGCUUCGGCAGCACAUAUACUAAAAUUGGAACCAUACAGAGAAGAUUAGCAUGGCCCCUGUGCAAGUAUGAGACGCAAAUUUGUGCAGCAUUCCAUAUUUUU
Molecule: small nuclear RNA, 107 nt
Filed under: Mus spicilegus (steppe mouse)
Lineage: Eukaryota; Metazoa; Chordata; Mammalia; Rodentia; Muridae
Source: RNAcentral